Molecule: ribosomal RNA, 515 nt
Filed under: uncultured bacterium
Lineage: Bacteria
Description: partial 16S ribosomal RNA
Rfam family: Bacterial small subunit ribosomal RNA
Source: RNAcentral
GAUGAACGCUGGCGGCGUGCCUAAUACAUGCAAGUCGAGCGAAUGGAUUAAGAGCUUGCUCUUAUGAAGUUAGCGGCGGACGGGUGAGUAACACGUGGGUAACCUGCCCAUAAGACUGGGAUAACUCCGGGAAACCGGGGCUAAUACCGGAUAACAUUUUGAACCGCAUGGUUCGAAAUUGAAAGGCGGCUUCGGCUGUCACUUAUGGAUGGACCCGCGUCGCAUUAGCUAGUUGGUGAGGUAACGGCCCACCAAGGCAACGAUGCGUAGCCGGCCUGGGAGGGUGAUCGGCCACAGUGGGACUGAGAGACGGCCCAGACUCCUGCGGGAGGCAGCAGUAGGGAAUCUUCCGCAAUGGACGAAAGUCUGACGGAGCAACGCCGCGUGAGUGAUGAAGGCUUUCGGGUCGUAAAACUCUGUUGUUAGGGAAGAACAAGUGCUAGUUGAAUAAGCUGGCACCUUGACGGUACCUAACCAGAAAGCCACGGCUAACUACGUGCCAGCCGCCGCGGUAA